Molecule: ribosomal RNA, 468 nt
Filed under: uncultured bacterium
Lineage: Bacteria
Description: partial 16S ribosomal RNA
Rfam family: Bacterial small subunit ribosomal RNA
Source: RNAcentral
GACGAACGCUGGCGGCGUGCUUAACACAUGCAAGUCGAACGAUGAAGCACCAGCUUGCUGGUGUGGAUUAGUGGCGAACGGGUGAGUAACACGUGAGUAACCUGCCCCUCACUCUGGGAUAAGCUUGGGAAACGGGGCUUAAUACUGGAUCGGACCGACCCCCCCAUGGAGGGUGGGGGGAAGGUUUUGUGGGGGGGGAUGGACUCGCGGCCUAUCCGCUUGUUGGUGGGGUAAUGGCCUACCAAGGCGACGACGGGUAGCCGGCCUGAGAGGGCGACCGGCCACACUGGGACUGAGACACGGCCCAGACUCCUACGGGAGGCAGCAGUGGGGAAUAUUGCACAAUGGGCGAAAGCCUGAUGCAGCGACGCCGCGUGAGGGAUGACGGCCUUCGGGUUGUAAACCUCUUUCACCAGGGACGAAGCUAACGUGACGGUACCUGGAGAAGAAGCACCGGCUAACUACGUG